RNAcentral lists this ribosomal RNA (388 nucleotides) under uncultured bacterium. Its description in RNAcentral is "bacterial SSU rRNA". It matches the Rfam family "Bacterial small subunit ribosomal RNA", at positions 29 to 408 of the family's 1533-position model. The record is from RNAcentral.
AACGAACGCUGGCGGCGCGCCUAAUACAUGCAAGUCGAGCGAGAAGACGUAGCAAUACGUUUGUAAAGCGGCGAACGGGUGAGGAAUACAUGGGUAACCUACCCUCGAGUGGGGAAUAACUAGCCGAAAGGUUAGCUAACACCGCGUACGCUCCUUGGACUUCGGUUCAGGGCGGAAAGCGAUACCGUGGGUAUCGCGCUCUUGGAUGGGCUCAUGUCCUAUCAGCUUGUUGGGAGGUAACGGCUCACCAAGGCUUCGACGGGUAGCUGGUCUGAGAGGACGAUCAGCCACACUGGCACUGCGACACGGGCCAGACUCCUACGGGAGGCAGCAGUAAGGAAUACUGCGCAAUGGGCGAAAGCCUGACGCAGCGACGCCGCGUGGGGGA